UACGUAGGGGGCAAGCGUUGUCCGGAUUUAUUGGGCGUAAAGAGCUCGUAGGCGGUUUGGUAAGUCUGGUGUGAAAUCUCCACGCUCAACGUGGAGGGGCCACCCGAUACUGCCAUGACUGGAGUCCGGUAGAGGAGUGUGGAAUUCCCGGUGUAGCGGUGAAAUGCGCAGAUAUCAGGAGGAACACCAGUGGCGAAGGCGGUGCUCUGGGCCGGAACUGACGCUGAGGAGCGAAAGCGUGGGGAGCAAACAGG
RNAcentral lists this ribosomal RNA (254 nucleotides) under uncultured bacterium. Its description in RNAcentral is "partial 16S ribosomal RNA". It matches the Rfam family "Bacterial small subunit ribosomal RNA", at positions 524 to 776 of the family's 1533-position model. The record is from RNAcentral.